This 301-nucleotide long non-coding RNA is filed under the name Anas zonorhyncha (Eastern spot-billed duck). RNAcentral describes it as "lncRNA (ENSAZOG00000017211.1)". The record is from RNAcentral. Lineage: Eukaryota; Metazoa; Chordata; Aves; Anseriformes; Anatidae.
GUUCCAGCAAAGCAGUUUACCCUCUGAGGCCCUCGCUGUCAGCUCCACGCUCAUACAUCCAUGCCCUGCUGUCGAGCCUGACAGCCAUCUAUUGUUCAUUCACUGCUUCCACCUCGCCACUUAAUGUUCAUCUGUCCAAUAAAGCAAGGUUAUUUUUCCCUGGAAUAAGUGGAUGGUUAUUAUCCAUAAAAUGGUGUCAUCCUGCCCCAUGAAUGUCUACAAACCAAAGUGGAAGAACUUUUAAGUCUGGAUACUUAAUACUGUGCUGAAGUAUGCAGGAAUAAAGCAAUUGUGAGUGGAU